UGUGUGUUUUAAAGGCUGUGGGUUGCUGU
Molecule: non-coding RNA, 29 nt
Filed under: Mus musculus (house mouse)
Lineage: Eukaryota; Metazoa; Chordata; Mammalia; Rodentia; Muridae
Source: RNAcentral